RNAcentral lists this ribosomal RNA (253 nucleotides) under uncultured bacterium. RNAcentral describes it as "partial 16S ribosomal RNA". It matches the Rfam family "Bacterial small subunit ribosomal RNA", at positions 524 to 776 of the family's 1533-position model. The record is from RNAcentral.
GAAAGAGGGUGCAAACGUUGUUCGGAAUUACUGGGCGUAAAGCGCGUGUAGGCGGUCCUGCAGGUCGGAUGUGAAAUCCCUCGGCUCAACCAAGGAAGUGCAUUCGAAACCGCAGGACUUGAGUGUCGGAGAGGAAGGCGGAAUUGUCGGUGUAGAGGUGAAAUUCGUAGAUAUCGACAGGAACACCUGUGGCGAAAGCGGCCUUUUGGACGAACACUGACGCUGAGACGCGAAAGCGUGGGGAGCAAACAGG